This 1566-nucleotide long non-coding RNA is filed under the name Mus pahari (shrew mouse). RNAcentral describes it as "lncRNA (MGP_PahariEiJ_G0012261.1)". The record is from RNAcentral. Lineage: Eukaryota; Metazoa; Chordata; Mammalia; Rodentia; Muridae.
CUCUUAAUGUCCAGCCUGGGACCUGAGCCCCUGGCCCAUUGUUAGCCGGCUUUUCCAUGGCAGCUUUGCAUCUGGCUCCUGCGGGCAGCGGAAAACGAGAGGCGGCUCUCGAAGCCUGCUGAUCUUCCUUCGCCAUCAACUUCUCAGGAAUGGCUGGAGAAAGAUAGAUGCAUGUGCCAAGAGAGACAGCAGCCCCAGGUCCUUGUGUCCAAAUCCCCGUAGCCUGGGCGGCGGCCAGCCAAGGCAAUGCCGUCCCGAGCAGGCUCGUGCGGCUUCUGGCACUCUGGGUUUCAUACCCGUAGGGCUCGGGUGCGGUCAAAGGAGAGCAUGAAUCAAGAGCAGGAGAGUAGAUGUGGGCAAAGCUCCUUUGGCGUGAGACUCCCAGCGUUCUGCGGCAGCCUGGUUUUGUAUCCUCAAGAUUUUCCUAAAACGUGAAAAGGGUUCCUAAACACUGCUCUCUGGGACUCAGCAGAGAGGAAAUAAAUCCACAGAAUGGCAAAUGCUGAAUUCCGGGAGGAAUUUGAUGCUGAGAUUCAUGGAAGGGAUUCCUUCCAAUCCAAGGAAGACCUGGAGGACUCUCUGAAACUCAGUCCUUUUUCUUGAGACCUAAGGGAGAGUCGGUCCCUUUUGAGGUGAAUUUAGAAGCCCCCCCCCCAUCUUCUUUAGGCGUGAUAAUGAACCCCGAAGCAACCUCAGUGGAGACCUGGAAUUCGAUAGCUUGUGGGAAGAGCUUAAGACCUUGUGGGGUUCCAAGGUUGAGGCCUUGGCCGAUGGGCUUUCGGUGCGGGGAAAAGGAGAGGAGCCCCGGGUUCUUGGGGCCCGCGCCCCGCACCUGUGCGCCCCCCGCUGAGCCCCAGACUGUCCGCCUUUGUUUCUGCCAGUCCGCUCCGCACUUAGCAGCCUGGCGCCCUGCUUGGGCGGCAGCUGGGAACCAGGCAGCUCAGAGAGCCGGGAGCCAUGGCAUUUCCCGAGCUGCUGCAGCCACUUGAAACGGCGGCCUCUAUCCCCAGAACUCGCCGAGCUUCCAAGGCAGACGCCGGACCAGGCCGCACGCCGGAGUUGCGGUGCUGCGGCAGCCGCUGCCAGUUCGCUCCUGCCAGAACUCCACGCAGAGACCCGUGUCCAGCCAAAGAACCCUCUUUGACACGGAUCGUAAUCAGAAUAAAAACUUUAUUUUUUAUUUUUAUUUUUUUGUUUCUCAGAAUGUGAGCAGCAAGGAAUGUAAAACUCUCAAAACAAAUCUAGCAUUUUUACGUUUAGUUUGGCCGGAUGUUACAAACCUAAACCACUAUUUUCAAACUCUGGGUCCUCUCUGUUCUUAUUGCAUUGCUACGGUUUUUAUAAAGGAAUUUUAUUUCCCUUUCAAAUAAAUUUUAUAUGUAUGCCAAUACACCAUUGAACAAAAGGCUCAAGAAACCUUCUGAACAAUCAGGGUACAGAAUUUCUUUAAUAUAAAUACGAACGGAUGGGGAUAAAUAAUAUUUAAAACUAUUCAAUGCUUGCAAAAAAUAUAAAUAAAUCUGACUGUUCACCAGCACACACACACACACACACACACACACACAC